This 282-nucleotide ribosomal RNA is filed under the name uncultured prokaryote. Its description in RNAcentral is "partial 16S ribosomal RNA". It matches the Rfam family "Bacterial small subunit ribosomal RNA", at positions 355 to 628 of the family's 1533-position model. The record is from RNAcentral.
UGGGGAAUAUUGCGCAAUGGGGGAAACCCUGACGCAGCGACGCCGUGUGAGGGAAGAAGGCCUUCGGGUCGUAAACCUCUGUCAGAAGGGAAGAACCGCCGCGGGGUGAAUAAAACCUCGGCCUGACGGUACCUUCAGAGGAAGCGCCGGCUAACUCCGUGCCAGCAGCCGCGGUAAUACGGAGGGCGCAAGCGUUAAUCGGAAUUACUGGGCGUAAAGCGUGCGUAGGCUGUUUGGUAAGUCAGGCGUGAAAGCCCUCGGCUCAACCGGGGAACUGCGCUU